AUGGGCCCCUCUGUGAAAACAGACCCGACGCCAUCUGUAGGUGUGCAAAAGUGCCUACAAUGCCCUGGAUGCACAAGAACCACCUGUGCAGCUCUGAUGAGGAGACCUAGACAGGCAGAGGGAUUGGCAUCUGCACGCAUGGAAGGAGCAUCCCAAGGAUGGGCAGAGGGAUUGGCAUCUGCACGCAUGGAAGGAGCAUCCCAAGGAUGGGCAGAGGGAUUGGCAUCUGCACACAUGGAAGGAGCAUCCCAAGGACGGGCAGAGGGAUUGGCAUCUGCCCCCAGGGAAGGAGCAUCCCAAGGAUGGGCAGAGGGAUUGGCAUCUGCACGCAUGGAAGGAGCAUCCCAAGGACGGGCAGAGGGAUUGGCAUCUGCACCCAGGGAAGGAGCAUCCCAAGGAUGGGCAGAGGGAUUGGCAUCUGCCCCCAGGGAAGGAGCAUCCCAAGGACUGGCAGAGGGAUUGGCAUCUGCACACAUGGAAGGAGCAUCCCAAGGAUGGGCAGAGGGAUUGGCAUCUGCACACAUGGAAGGAGCAUCCCAAGGACGGGCAGAGGGAUUGGCAUCUGCACGCAUGGAAGGAGCAUCCCAAGGAUGGGCAGAGGGAUUGGCAUCUGCCCCCAGGGAAGGAGCAUCCCAAGGAUGGGCAGAGGGAUUGGCAUCUGCACGCAUGGAAGGAGCAUCCCAAGGACGGGCAGAGGGAUUGGCAUCUGCACCCAGGGAAGGAGCAUCCCAAGGAUGGGCAGAGGGAUUGGCAUCUGCAUGCAGGGAAGGAACAUCCCAAGGAUGGGCAGAGGGAUUGGCAUCUGCAUGCAGGGAAGGAACAUCCCAAGGAUGGGCAGAGGGAUUGGCAUCUGCAUGGAGGGAAGGAGCAUCCCAAGUGCUGGGCCCACAGAUCCAUGGCAGUGCGCACUGUGUGCGGGAAGUCACAGGCGCCCUUGCCCUGGAGGAGCUUCCAUCCCUUCCAUCUAUUGCGCCCUGCACAAACUUGCUUGGCCCUGCCCUGGGGCUCGUUGUGGAGGGGGGCUUGCAGCCCCCUGGGAGGGUUUGUCCUUGGAAAUCCCAGCUUCCUUUCUAG
This 1074-nucleotide long non-coding RNA is filed under the name Monodelphis domestica (gray short-tailed opossum). Its description in RNAcentral is "lncRNA (ENSMODG00000041770.1)". The record is from RNAcentral. Lineage: Eukaryota; Metazoa; Chordata; Mammalia; Didelphimorphia; Didelphidae.